RNAcentral lists this non-coding RNA (97 nucleotides) under pig gut metagenome. Its description in RNAcentral is "SAM riboswitch (S box leader)". It matches the Rfam family "SAM riboswitch aptamer (S box leader)". From Rfam's summary of the family: The SAM riboswitch is found upstream of a number of genes which code for proteins involved in methionine or cysteine biosynthesis in Gram-positive bacteria. The SAM riboswitch acts at the level of transcription termination control. The record is from RNAcentral.
CUUAUCAAGAGCGGCUGAGGGACAGGCCCUGUGAAGCCCGGCAACCUGCGUUUAGAGUGUGGUGCCAAUUCCUGCGGAUUUAAUCCGAGAGAUGAGG